AUGAUAGAACUGAAAGAAAGGACUAGGAAGGAAUACAUUUUAACUGGCUUUGGGACACCAACUUGGUUCUGCUUUUGCACCUAUGCAAUGCAAAUAUAUCGAUCUCAUAAUCCAGCUGUAACUGCAUUUUUCAACUAUGAAAACCCAUGGAGAAAGGGACCAGAAAUAACAGAUAUUAUACACAAUGAUAUAAGUAAGCAAUGCCAAAAUCCAAUCUUACCCUUGCACUUGUAUGCAGGACCACAUGUUCUUACCCUUGGGAGUAAUCAGGAUUUGUCAAUACAAACGUUUCUGAAACCAGUUCUAGGCUAG
RNAcentral lists this ribosomal RNA (312 nucleotides) under Triticum aestivum (bread wheat). Its description in RNAcentral is "partial small subunit ribosomal RNA". The record is from RNAcentral. Lineage: Eukaryota; Viridiplantae; Streptophyta; Magnoliopsida; Poales; Poaceae.